Long non-coding RNA from Benincasa hispida (wax gourd), 1773 nucleotides. RefSeq lists it as uncharacterized. NCBI's taxonomy places the organism in Eukaryota, Viridiplantae, Streptophyta, Magnoliopsida, Cucurbitales, Cucurbitaceae. The record is from RefSeq and is a predicted model, not a curated record.
AAAAAACAAAGAAAAAAGAAAAAAAAAAAGUUUCUUCAACCUCUUGUUCUUCUAGGUAUUUUUGUGGCUUUGUAAAGCUUUGGUAUCACUAUCUAAGCCUUUUGUUCACAAAUCACAAAUAUGGGGCCUCACCAUUUCAUUACUCAGGUAAACUCAAAAAUACAUUUCAAUAUUAUUAUUAUUAGUAGUAUUAAUGUACUAAAACUAAACCCCAUUUUCUUUUUUCCCCAUAUGGGUAUUUGAAUGGCUGAUGACAUGUUGCACUUCAUGUUUCAGAAACUUUAUUGUUGAUGUAGUUGUUCUUGUUAUAUAUUUCCAAUCUAAAAACGCAUAUAUUAUAUAUAUAUAUAUAUAUCUUUUGUUUUGUUUCAUUUGUUUUGAUUCUUACAUUGCACUCACAUCCAAAAAUAAGAGACCGCAACAAUGUGUCGUGUAGUUUUGAAACAGUUGAUGUAUGAUAGAAAAAAGUUUCAAAAGAAUCUCCAUAAGAGACAUGCAAAUUUUUUAAUCACUCAUUGAUUAUUUUAAGAUAUUGUAGCGACUUCACGAAAUGUAUAUUUUGUGGGUAGAGGAAGAAAUAGAAUCGUAAUUCAAAAUUUAGAGAAAAUCAACAUAGUCACAAUUAACUAAUUUAAAAGAUAACGGGAGAUUUGUUAAAUUUGAAUGGUAGGAGAUAGAAAAAGUGAUAUUUCUUUGAAGUAAAUUGAAAAGGAUCUCAAACAACAUAACAUACAUUUGUUUAGAUGAAUAAUAAAAGGGGAAAACUAAAUCUUCGACUUUUUGGUAAAUGAAUAUAUUUUAAUCAAAACUAAUCUACAAUAAGUUUUAAGUUUACAUUAAACACUUAGAAAAUUUAGACCUCAUUUUAUAACUAAAAUUUAAAUUCUAAACCAAAUUUAAAAAAUAAAAUCAAGUUAGAACAUAGGGAAGGAGACAAAAGAUGAAUGAUGGAAAAUAAGGUAAGAAAUGCACUACAUGGCAGAGGUUAGUGUUAGAUGAUUUUUUUGUCUGUUUAACCAAAAGAAAAAAGAAAAAAAAAAUCUGUGUAAUUUUGAUCCGUACGAUAUAAGAUGUCCUUUGGCUAAGAUUCCCAUGUCUUGUCAUGUUAGUUUUUGGUGACUGUAAACAUCUCAUCUUGUCCUAUGCCUCACUUAUACAUAAAUACAUUAUAUCAAUAUUUAGGUUUACCAUAAAUUAUACCUAUUUUUAUGCAUUCAUUUCAAUUCAAAGAAUAAAAUAUUUUUUAAAACUAGACAAAUUUGCGAUAUGAAAAUUUGUGAUUGAACAUUUAGAUAAGUUCGAGAUGCAUUUAUUUAUAUAUAUAUAUAUAUAAUUGAAUUUUGCAUGUGCUAACUUCGUUAUCUCUUUCUUUCAUCCACCUAACAUACCUUUAUUUUGUUGUGCUUUUAUUUAGAACUUCUUUUGCAUAACUUUUUACAUCUUUAGAUUGAGAUUCUUUGCCAUAUUUUCUAUUAUGAUUUGUCCUUUUUACAUAUAUUCAUGUUACUUUGUCAUUGUGUACACUUUAAAAUUGGUACUAACGUCAGCUCUAAAUUUUUAUGUAAUUGUUGCUCAAAAUAAUGCUAACCAAAUGACUAUGAUAUAACUAUUGGACAAAGACUGACUGUGUGGUACUCCAUGUGCUAAAAAGAAGUUGAUUGUUAGGACAAAAUAGAGGAGCAAACAUGCCCUACUUUUGAAUAAUGUAUGAAAUCUCUCUCAUAGACAACGUCAAUGUAUUUUAUUGAUUAUUUACCUCUCGUUUAGUAAUUA